GCCGUCAGCUCGUGUCGUGAGAUGUUGGUUAAGUCCCGCAACGAGCGCAACCCCUAUUGUUAGUUGCCAUCAUUCAGUUGGGCACUCUAGCGAGACUGCCGGUAAUAAACCGGAGGAAGGUGGGGAUGACGUCAAAUCAUCAUGCCCCUUAUGACCUGGGCUACACACGUGCUACAAUGGUUGGUACAACGAGUUGCGAGUCGGUGACGGCGAGCUAAUCUCUUAAAGCCAAUCUCAGUUCGGAUUGUAGGCUGCAACUCGCCUACAUGAAGUCGGAAUCGCUAGUAAUCGCGGAUCAGCACGCCGCGGUGAAUACGUUCCCGGGCCUU
RNAcentral lists this ribosomal RNA (329 nucleotides) under uncultured Streptococcus sp. RNAcentral describes it as "bacterial SSU rRNA". It matches the Rfam family "Bacterial small subunit ribosomal RNA", at positions 1051 to 1382 of the family's 1533-position model. The record is from RNAcentral. Lineage: Bacteria; Bacillati; Bacillota; Bacilli; Lactobacillales; Streptococcaceae.